AGCGAACGCUGGCGGCAGGCCUAACACAUGCAAGUCGAACGAACCUUUCGGGGUUAGUGGCGGACGGGUGGGUAACCCGUGGGAACGUGCCUUUAAGUUCGGAAUAACUCAGGGAAACUUGUGCUAAUACCGAAUGUGCCCUUCGGGGGGAAGUUUUAUCGCCUUUAGAGCGGCCCGCGUCUGAUUAGCUAGUUGGUUGAGGUAAUGGCUCACAAAGGCGACUGGCAGAAGCUGGUCUGAGAGGAUGAUCAGCAACCUUGGGACUGAGAGCAGGCCAAACUCCUACGGGAGGCAGCAGUGGGGAAUCUUGCGCAAUGGGCGAAAGCCUGACGCAGCCAUGCCGCGUGAAUGAUGAAGGUCUUAGGAUUGUAAAAUUCUUUAACCGGGGACGAUAAUGACGGUACCCGGAGAAGAAGCCCCGGCUAACUUCGUG
This 433-nucleotide ribosomal RNA is filed under the name uncultured bacterium. RNAcentral describes it as "partial 16S ribosomal RNA". It matches the Rfam family "Bacterial small subunit ribosomal RNA", at positions 29 to 507 of the family's 1533-position model. The record is from RNAcentral.